Non-coding RNA from Lupinus albus (white lupine), 363 nucleotides. Lineage: Eukaryota; Viridiplantae; Streptophyta; Magnoliopsida; Fabales; Fabaceae. The record is from the annotation of a GenBank genome assembly.
UACAUAAUAAAUUCUUAUUCCCAUCACUGUUGGCAUUGAUAUAUGAUAUUCCCAUAGCUAAAAUCCCUUCACCACUCCAUACACUUAUAUUUAUCCCUUUCAUGUUAAUAUCACAACAAUAUUAAAGAGUAAUACCCAGAAUGCACAAAAAGAACAUACACACUGAAAUACAGAAGAUACAGCAGAGAAGGAAUACACAGAAGGGAGAGGAACACACUAGGUGCAAUUUCCAGUAAGAGAAUAUAAGAGGCACAUUCACUUAUACAUCCAGCAAAGGCAUAAGAUCCUAAAGUUGGAGGCGGUGUCGGUGGAACUUGUGAAGUUACCAUGAACCAAACCCAACACUCACCGAGUUGUGGAUAA